Molecule: long non-coding RNA, 2691 nt
Organism: Pongo pygmaeus (Bornean orangutan)
Lineage: Eukaryota; Metazoa; Chordata; Mammalia; Primates; Hominidae
Exons: 3
Source: RefSeq, a predicted model, not a curated record
AAUUGAUGGCAUCUUAAAUGCAGUAAAAUAAUACAAAUACUUACAAAAUUAUGGGAUGAUCUGUGGGAGCAAAGGUCUGGCUUUCAGAGGUCAGAAGGCUGAAGGAAUCACAGCAAACCACCACUGAUGAUGUCAGCUCCCUGCAGCACCAAAGCAAAUGAUUCACAAAGGAAUGCCCAGGAGUCAAGGCAAACCUCAUGACUACCAUUUGCCAUUUACCUGCCCACUUGCUGUCAGAGAGUAAUACCUUCUCCUAAUUUUCCACUUUUAAUCUCCCAGAGAAAUGCAAAUCAAAACCACAAUGAGACAUUGCCUCAUACCUGUUGGAAUGGCUAUUAUGAAAAACAUAAAAGGCAACUGCUCUAUACCAGGCCUCUCUUAGGGAGACAUGUCAUAUCCCUCAGGUGUGCAGAAAAAUACGGCUUCUGCUGGAGAUGGAAAAAGGACCCUGGGGAGGACAAGAUGCCUCAUGUCAAAGCAACAAGAUUCCAGUGAAGAGCUGCAGGCCUCAGAGGCAGGUAGGCAGAGCCAUUUCUUGGUCGGAACAUCUUUCUUCUUCAGUCCCCAGCAAAUCAUCACAGUGAGCUGUCAGCAUUUUCCCCCACAUUCUCCAGAAGCAGCCUCUGGAUCUUAAACACAAUUCUUCCUUUGAUUCUUUUGAUGACGGUGCAACAGCAAAAUGCUGUGGCAAUCAAAACUGCCUGAAAACAGCAGAUUAGCCAUUCCAAGUUUUAACUGAGUUAAUCAAAGAACUGUCAGCACAGAUGCUGUCCAUGGUUCUCCUAGAGAUGCAAUCUUGAUGCUGUGUCCUUGAGAUUUCUCAUUUAGAGGGCCUCUUCCAGACAGAACUUUGGGAUAUUCAUAAGAGUAACUUCUACAUGUGGUGAGGUUGAGGACGGGGAUAGCAGUGAAGAUGUGCCAGACACUUAAAAACACUAUCUCAUUUAAUUUUCCAAAGAGUCCAGCCAGACACAUACCAAUGUCCCCAUUUUGCAAACGAAAUUGAGGCUCAGAGAAGUUAUAUGGUCACUCAGCUAGGAAAAGCUGGAAUUAGAAUUGGAGCCUAUGUCUAAUCUUCUUAGACUUCACACUCUUUGCCCCUGUUCACCCCUCCUCAUUUUUUCCUCCCAUUUGCAAUGUGCCUAAUACUCUUCUCAAGAGCAAACAUGCUUGAUUCACAGCUUGGGCCUUGGCCUUUCUUUUCUGAGUUUGAAUCAUAGGAAGCUAAUGCUAAAGGGGUCUUCUCACACGGCUUUGUGCAAUCCUCUAAAUUAUCAUGAGAAAACUGAGGAGCAAUAGAUUAAAUGGCUGUGCCUCUAGUGAGCCAUUGAGUCAGUGUCAGCACCAGGACCACCACUGACUCUGGGGCAGUAUGCUGGCACUUUAUAGUGCUCUCAAAGUUGUGCAAGGGCCAGGCAUGUGCCUCACACCGAUAAUCCUAGCAACUAAGGAGGCUGAGGCAGGAAGAUCCCUUGAGGCUGGGAGUUCAAGACUAGCCUGGGCAACCCCUUUUCCUAAAAAGUUUUAAAGCAUGGUGGUGCACAUCUGUAGUCUUAGCUACUCAGGAAGCUAAGGCAGAAAGAUCCCUUGAGCCCAGUAGUUCAAGGCUACAGUGAGCUGUGACUGCUCCAAUGCACUACAGCCUGGGUGACAGAGCAAAAUCAAACUUUUAAAACAUAUAUAUACAUAAUAUAUAUUUUUAAAUAUUGUACAAGGAGACACCCAUGUCAUGGAUGUGGGGAGCUGAUUCUCUCAAGACCUCGACUUUUCUGGGACACACAGGUAAGUGGGGAGCUCUGGAGUGACAGUGAGGGGCAACACUCACACAUGUCAAUCAUGUUUGACUCUGGCACUUACUGUUACUUUUCAGCAGAGCAAUUCUAGUCAUCAAAACCCAUAGAGAAAGCACAUAUUAAACAGAAACAGAUUUUCUAGCACUUUUUCUGGGUCAGUUCUUUCAUUUUCUUUCAGGACUUUCUGGUUCUCUCAUCCUGGAAUGUGGCAGUACAAAGUUUAAACUACUCGUCAAAUCACCACCACUCUCUACUUCUUCAAUUCCUUAUUACCUAUUUUCCAACAUGGCCCCUUGGGCUGACUAAUCCAGUUUAUAUAAACCCCACACACCCUCUACAGGUGAUUUACCUGCUCCUAGAUGACUGCCUCCUCCCUCUGGUACCCCCCUCUUUAGUUCCUCUAAGCCAGAAGUUGCAGUCACAAAUGUCUUCAGGAGCUAGGAAGAUAAAGAGAAAUGUGUAAAGUGCCAGGUGUAUGAUAAUAGGGAAUGGUGAGGAGGGUAGCAAACUAGAAGGUGCAAGCCCCAUCUACAGAAAUUCAAAUUUUAAAAAAUAUAAAGCAUUCUGCUGACCAAAUAGAAUACUUGUACAGAACUGGAUGCAGUGGCUCACAUCUGUAAUCCGAGCACUUUGAGAGGACAGGGCAGCAAGAUAGCUUGAGGCCAGGAGUUUGAGACCAGCCUGGCCAACAUAAUGAGACCCUGUCUCUACAAAAAAUAGAAAAUAAAAACAUUAACUGGGCAUGGUGGCACACAACUGUAGUCGUAGCUACUCAGUAGACUGAGCCUUGAGUAGCUACUCAGGAGGGCUGCUUGAACCCAGGAGUUUCAGGCUGCAGUGAGCUAUCAAUGAGUCACUGCACUACAGCCUGAGUGACAGAGUGACAGCCUGUCUCCAG